GAUGAAGAACGUAGCGAAAUGCGAUACUUGGUGUGAAUUGCAGAAUCCCGUGAACCAUCGAGUCUUUGAACGCAAGUUGCGCCUCAAGCCAUUAGGUUGAGGGCACGUCUGCCUGGGCGUCACAUAUCGUUGCCUGAUGCCAGUUUCCUCGUGAUGGGUGACUGUGCAGGGCGAAUGAUGGCUUCCCGUGAGCAUUGUUGCCUCAUGGUUGGUUGAAAAUUGAGUCCUUGGUAGGGAGCGCCGUGAUAGAUGGUGGUUGAGUGACGAACGAGACCCAAUCAUGUGAGACCCCUACCGAAUUUGGCCUUCAUGACCCACUUGCGUCUUUGGAACGCUCAUGACGAGACCUCAGGUCAGGCGAGGCUACCCGCUGAGUUUAAGCAUAUCAAUAAGCGGAGGA
This 400-nucleotide unclassified non-coding RNA is filed under the name soil metagenome. RNAcentral describes it as "partial contains 5.8S ribosomal RNA, internal transcribed spacer 2, and large subunit ribosomal RNA". The stretch from base 1 to 122 matches the Rfam family "5.8S ribosomal RNA", at positions 35 to 154 of the family's 154-position model. The record is from RNAcentral.